CAGUAGCCGCGGUAACACGUAGGGUGCGAGCGUUAAUCGGAAUUACUGGGCGUAAAGCGUGCGCAGGCGGUUCGCUAAGACAGAUGUGAAAUCCCCGGGCUUAACCUGGGAACUGCAUUUGUGACUGGCGGGCUAGAGUAUGGCAGAGGGGGGUAGAAUUCCACGUGUAGCAGUGAAAUGCGUAGAGAUGUGGAGGAAUACCGAUGGCGAAGGCAGCCCCCUGGGCCAAUACUGACGCUCAUGCACGAAAGCGUGGGGAGCAAACAGGAUUAGAUACCCCUGUAGUCCCUGUCUCUUAUAC
This 301-nucleotide ribosomal RNA is filed under the name uncultured bacterium. RNAcentral's name for it is "partial 16S ribosomal RNA". It matches the Rfam family "Bacterial small subunit ribosomal RNA", at positions 509 to 807 of the family's 1533-position model. The record is from RNAcentral.